RNAcentral lists this ribosomal RNA (1050 nucleotides) under Biston brevipennata. RNAcentral's name for it is "partial 16S ribosomal RNA". Lineage: Eukaryota; Metazoa; Arthropoda; Insecta; Lepidoptera; Geometridae. The record is from RNAcentral.
AUUAAUAAUUAAUAUAUUUAAUAAAAAUAAUUUUAAUUUAAUAAAUAUUUUAAUGGGGGUUAAAGUAUUUUUUAAAGAAAAAAUUUUUAAAUUUAUAGUUAAUUAGUAUUGUGAAAGAAUUUUGAAAUAUUAUGAAAAAUAAAAUUUUUGUAAAGUAAUUUUUAUUUAUUGUAUCUUGUGUAUCAGAGUUUAUUAAAAAUUUUUAGUUUAUAAAUUAAUUUCUCGAAUUUAAAAGAGUUAAAUAAUUAUUAAAGUUAUUGUAGCAAAAUCAUUUUAAAUAAUUAUUUAGAAAUGAAAUGUUAAUCGUUUUUAAAUAUAUCUAGUUUUUAUAGAAAAAAAUUUAAUUUUAAAUUUAACAAUUAUUUAAUUAAUUUAUUAAUUAAAUAAUUGUUUAAAUUUUAUAAUUUAAGGGAUAAGCUUUAAAUUAAAUUUUUAUAGUAUUAAAUUUUUAUUUUGAAAAUUUUAUAAUUUAUAUUGUUAAUAAAAUUUAUUUUGUUAUAAAUAAUUUCAUUUUUUUUAAAAUUUAAAUUUUAUUUAAUUUUUUAUAUAAAAUUUAUUUAUAAUUAUAUAAAGUUAAUUAUAAUGAUAAAAUUAGUAUAUUAUUUAAUAUUAAAUUAAAAUUAAUUUUUGAUUAAUAAUUAAAUUAAUUAAAAGGAAUUCGGCAAAUAUUUAUUUUCACUUGUUUAUCAAAAACAUGUCUUUUUGUUAUUUAAUUUAAAGUCUAAUCUGCCCACUGAUUUAUAAAAAUUGAAGGGCUGCAGUAUAUUGACUGUACAAAGGUAGCAUAAUCAUUAGUCUCUUAAUUGGUGACUUGUAUGAAAGAUUGGAUGAAAAAUAUACUGUCUCUUAAUUAAUAUAUAGAAUUUAAUUUUUUAUUUAAAAAGUUAAAAUAAUUUAAAAAGACGAGAAGACCCUAUAGAGUUUAAUAAAUUAUUUUAUGAAAGUUUUAUUUAUAUUUAUUAAUAAUUUUAUAAAUUUAUUUAUUUUGUUGGGGUGAUAAAAAAAUAAGUUUAACUUUUUUUAAGUAAUUUACAUGAAUAAGUGAUUAAU